RNAcentral lists this ribosomal RNA (253 nucleotides) under uncultured bacterium. RNAcentral describes it as "partial 16S ribosomal RNA". It matches the Rfam family "Bacterial small subunit ribosomal RNA", at positions 524 to 776 of the family's 1533-position model. The record is from RNAcentral.
UACGAAGGGGGCUAGCGUUGCUCGGAAUGACUGGGCGUAAAGGGCGCGUAGGCGGCCACGCACGUCCGUUGUGAAAUCGCCCGGCUCAACUGGGCGGGGUCAGCGGAUACGGUGUGGCUAGAGCAAGCUAGGGGGCAAUGGAAUUCCCGGUGUAGUGGUGGAAUGCGUAGAUAUCGGGAGGAACACCAGUGGCGAAGGCGGUUGCCUGGAGCUUUGCUGACGCUGAUGCGCGAAAGCGUGGGGAGCGAUCCGG